Molecule: long non-coding RNA, 863 nt
Organism: Pseudoliparis swirei
Lineage: Eukaryota; Metazoa; Chordata; Actinopteri; Perciformes; Liparidae
Exons: 4
Source: RefSeq, a predicted model, not a curated record
UGUAAUGUAGGUUAUGGGUUUCUGCAUUGAACAUUAGCUAGCUAACGUUAGUUUACCAAAGGUUGGCUAAGAAAAUGUUUAAUUGUAAUUUCUGUGGCAGCUGGUCGGUUAAAACACAGAGGGGUUAUGUGCUUCAUUGCAAACUUCAUAGAAAUGAACCACGUUGUUUGUUUAAGUGCUUUGAAGCUGGUUGAAAACAGACCUUUGUACAAACGUGUUUUGCAGGCUGUCACAAAGCUGAAAAUUCUUAGAGGACAGUUGGAGGGCUGCUCAGAAGACGUGAAAGACAUGGUGCACCUUCUUCUCCUAUUUUGAUGAAAAGGAGGAGAACCUCUUCCACUAUGUCGAAGAAUCAUGUCUGGCAGACGAAGUAGUAGUGGAAAGCUUGCCUGUCACACCAUGCAUCAUUGUAUGUGGAACCUCCUGCUAUGCCUCAAGGCAGUUCAUGCUAAGUGUAGAUGGCAAGGUUGUGAAUGACCAAAUCCCAAACUUUGUUUCUGCCAUCUGUUUGAUGUUUGGAAGCUAUUACUGCUUCAAUAUCCACUAUCCUGUGGUUCUGGGCUCCACACUUGAGUUCCUUCAGAGGUGUUUCUUCCUGAUCAAUCCAGAGAAGGGCACAAAAGUUGAAACCAAGAAAAACAAGAAGCAACUUUCAGUGAACUUGAGUUCCUUCAGAGGUGUUUCUUCCUGAUCAAUCCAGAGAAGGGCACAAAAGUUGAAACCAAGAAAAACAAACUUGUUAUAUCUUGCCAGAACAAACUUUUCAGAUAAGCAAGGUAGGUAAGCUACUAGGAGGGACUUUGCAGAGCUUGUUGACUAGCCAUGCAUUUGAUUUAAUAAAGCUGUCCCUAAGGAAAAUUCAA